GGGGGAAUUUUGGGCAACGGGCGAAAGCCUGAUCCAGCAAUGCCGCGUGCAGGAUGAAGGCCUUAGGGUUGUAAACUGCUUUUGUACGGAACGAAAAGGUCUGCCUUAAUACGGUGGGCCCAUGACGGUACCGUAAGAAUAAGCACCGGCUAACUACGUG
Molecule: ribosomal RNA, 160 nt
Filed under: uncultured bacterium
Lineage: Bacteria
Description: partial 16S ribosomal RNA
Rfam family: Bacterial small subunit ribosomal RNA
Source: RNAcentral